Molecule: long non-coding RNA, 470 nt
Filed under: Cricetulus griseus (Chinese hamster)
Lineage: Eukaryota; Metazoa; Chordata; Mammalia; Rodentia; Cricetidae
Description: lncRNA (ENSCGRG00015030111.1)
Source: RNAcentral
GCAGGGUGUGCCUGCCAUGCAGGGUUGCCAUGUGAGCCGCCAAAGGAAUUAGAGGUCCAGACCCUUCUCCACCUCCGAGAUGGCCCCGCUUCCCACUGAGAAGUCGCCUUAUUGUGGACACUCCUCCUCCGUUGCCUAAGAGUGUGCAUUGGCUCCAAUGUCGGUAUUUCACAGCACUGACUUAUUUCCCGUUGUAAUUUGGGGUGCAGUCCAGCAGCGUCUGAGGGUAGACACCAAGGCCACAGCUCAACAUUCUGUAGUGAAUGGGUAGUCACCCCAAUCCACGAAUGCUCCAGCUUGUGAACAGAGCCCAGGCUGAGGAAGGCUGGGUUGCAGGGAAGAAAGAAGUCAGCACCAACCCCCAGGAGCUCCAACUCGUGGAGCUUUCUUAUGGGAUACAUCCUGAAACUGUGUUCUAGCUCCCUCUGGAUUAGGAACUGGGUGCAAUGCAGACUCUAAAUUUCUGUAAC